This 47-nucleotide ribosomal RNA is filed under the name Amanita rubrovolvata. RNAcentral describes it as "partial 28S ribosomal RNA". The record is from RNAcentral. Lineage: Eukaryota; Fungi; Basidiomycota; Agaricomycetes; Agaricales; Amanitaceae.
UUGACCUCAAAUCAGGUAGGAUUACCCGCUGAACUUAAGCAUAUCUA